RNAcentral lists this ribosomal RNA (468 nucleotides) under uncultured bacterium. RNAcentral's name for it is "partial 16S ribosomal RNA". It matches the Rfam family "Bacterial small subunit ribosomal RNA", at positions 28 to 507 of the family's 1533-position model. The record is from RNAcentral.
GACGAACGCUGGCGGCGUGCUUAACACAUGCAAGUCGAACGGAAAGGCCCUGCUUUUGUGGGGUGCUCGAGUGGCGAACGGGUGAGUAACACGUGAGUAACCUGCCCUUGACUUUGGGAUAACUUCAGGAAACUGGGGCUAAUACCGGAUAGGAGCUCCUGCUGCAUGGUGGGGGUUGGAAAGUUUCGGCGGUUGGGGAUGGACUCGCGGCUUAUCAGCUUGUUGGUGGGGUAGUGGCUUACCAAGGCUUUGACGGGUAGCCGGCCUGAGAGGGUGACCGGCCACAUUGGGACUGAGAUACGGCCCAGACUCCUACGGGAGGCAGCAGUGGGGAAUAUUGCACAAUGGGCGGAAGCCUGAUGCAGCAACGCCGCGUGCGGGAUGAUGGCCUUCGGGUUGUAAACCGCUUUCGCCUGUGACGAAGCGUGGGUGACGGUAAUGGGUAAAGAAGCACCGGCUAACUACGUG